This 425-nucleotide ribosomal RNA is filed under the name uncultured bacterium. Its description in RNAcentral is "bacterial SSU rRNA". It matches the Rfam family "Bacterial small subunit ribosomal RNA", at positions 354 to 796 of the family's 1533-position model. The record is from RNAcentral.
GUGGGGAAUAUUGGACAAUGGGCGCAAGCCUGAUCCAGCAAUGCCGCGUGAGUGAUGAAGGCCUUAGGGUUGUAAAGCUCUUUCACCGGGGAAGAUAAUGACGGUACCCGGAGAAGAAGCCCCGGCUAACUCCGUGCCAGCAGCCGCGGUAAUACGGAGGGGGCUAGCGUUGUUCGGAAUUACUGGGCGUAAAGCGCGCGUAGGCGGCUUGACAAGUUGGAGGUGAAAGCCCGGAGCUCAACUUCGGAAUUGCCUUCAAGACUGUCUCGCUCGAGGCAGGGAGAGGAGAGCGGAAUACCCAGUGUAGAGGUGAAAUUCGUAGAUAUUGGGUGGAACACCGGUGGCGAAGGCGGCUCUCUGGCCCUGAUCUGACGCUAAGGCGCGAAAGUGUGGGGAGCAAACAGGAUUAGAAACCCCUGUAGUCC